GCUAAAUGGACUCAUGGCGGACGGGUGAGUAACGCGUAAAGAACUUGCCCUUUAGACUGGGAUAACAGAGGGAAACUUCUGACAAUACUGGAUAAGUUAGUAUAUCGCAUGAUAUGCAAAUGAAAGCUACGGCACUAAAGGAGAGCUUUGCGUCCUAUUAGCUAGUUGGUAAGGUAAGAGCUUACCAAGGCGAUGAUAGGUAGCCGGCCUGAGAGGGUGGACGGCCACAAGGGGACUGAGAUACGGCCCUUACUCCUACGGGAGGCAGCAGUGGGGAAUAUUGGACAAUGGAGGGAACUCUGAUCCAGCAAUUCUGUGUGUGUGAAGAAGGUUUUAGGACUGUAAAACACUUUUGGUAGGGAAGAAAAAAAUGACGGUACCUACAGAAGAAGCAACGGCUAAAUACGUGCCAGCAGCCGCGGUAAUACGUAUGUUGCGAGCGUUAUCCGGAAUUAUUGGGCUUAAAGGGCAUCUAGGCGGUAAGACAAGUUGAAGGUGAAAACCUGUGGCUCAACCAUAGGCUUGCCUACAAAACUGUUGAACUAGAGUACUGGAAAGGUGGGUGGAACUACACGAGUAGAGGUGAAAUUCGUAGAUAUGUGUAGGAAUGCCGAUGAUGAAGAUAACUCACUGGACA
RNAcentral lists this ribosomal RNA (637 nucleotides) under uncultured bacterium. RNAcentral's name for it is "bacterial SSU rRNA". It matches the Rfam family "Bacterial small subunit ribosomal RNA", at positions 82 to 735 of the family's 1533-position model. The record is from RNAcentral.